UGGGCAACAGAGAAGAUUAGCAUGACCCCUGUGCAAGGAUGACACACAAAUUCAUGAAGACUUCCAUAUUGAA
This is a small nuclear RNA of Pan paniscus (pygmy chimpanzee), 73 nucleotides long. Lineage: Eukaryota; Metazoa; Chordata; Mammalia; Primates; Hominidae. The record is from Ensembl.